CCUACGGGAGGCAGCAGUGAGGAAUAUUGGUCAAUGGGCGGAAGCCUGAACUAGCCAAGUAGCGUGCAGGAUGACGGCCCUACGGGUUGUAAACUGCUUUUAUACGGGAAUAACGCGCCUUACGUGUACGUCUUUGCAUGUACCUUAUGAAUAAGGACCGGCUAAUUCCGUGCCAGCAGCCGCGGUAAUACGGAAGGUCCGGGCGUUAUCCGGAUUUAUUGGGUUUAAAGGGAGCGUAGGCCGCAUGUCAAGCGUGCUGUGAAAUGUCCGGGCUCAACCCGAGCCUUGCAGUGCGUACUGGCGUGCGUGAGUCCGCGGAAAGCAGGCGGAAUUCGUCGUGUAGCGGUGAAAUGCUUAGAUAUGACGAAGAACCCCGAUUGCGAAGGCAGCUUGCUGCAGCGGAACUGACGCUGAUGCUCGAAAGCGCGGGUAUCGAACAGGAUUAGAUACCCUUGUAGUC
Molecule: ribosomal RNA, 460 nt
Filed under: uncultured bacterium
Lineage: Bacteria
Description: partial 16S ribosomal RNA
Rfam family: Bacterial small subunit ribosomal RNA
Source: RNAcentral